UGUCUAUGAUGUACGAAAAAUAUUUGCUACUCUUGACAAUCAAUGACGACAUAUAUGAAUCACCAAGAUCUCUGAGACG
Molecule: small nucleolar RNA, 79 nt
Filed under: Globisporangium iwayamae DAOM BR242034
Lineage: Eukaryota; Oomycota; Peronosporomycetes; Pythiales; Pythiaceae
Description: small nucleolar RNA SNORD24
Rfam family: Small nucleolar RNA SNORD24
About the family: U24 is a member of the C/D class of snoRNA which contain the C (UGAUGA) and D (CUGA) box motifs. C/D box snoRNAs have been shown to act as methylation guides for a number of RNA targets. U24 is encoded within an intron of the gene for ribosomal protein L7a in mammals, chicken and Fugu.
Source: RNAcentral